AGCGAACGCUGGCGGCAGGCCUAACACAUGCAAGUCGAACGAACUCUUCGGAGUUAGUGGCGGACGGGUGAGUAACACGUGGGAACGUGCCUUUUGGUUCGGAAUAACUCAGGGAAACUUGUCUAAUACCGAAUGUGCCCUUCGGGGGAAAGAUUUAUCGCCAUUAGAGCGGCCCGCGUCUGAUUAGCUAGUUGGUGAGGUAACGGCUCACCAAGGCGACGAUCAGUAGCUGGUCUGAGAGGAUGACCAGCCACACUGGGACUGAGACACGGCCCAGACUCCUACGGGAGGCAGCAGUGGGGAAUCUUGCGCAAUGGGCGAAAGCCUGACGCAGCCAUGCCGCGUGAAUGAUGAAGGUCUUAGGAUUGUAAAAUUCUUUCACCGGGGACGAUAAUGACGGUACCCGGAGAAGAAGCCCCGGCUAACUUCGUG
This 432-nucleotide ribosomal RNA is filed under the name uncultured bacterium. RNAcentral's name for it is "partial 16S ribosomal RNA". It matches the Rfam family "Bacterial small subunit ribosomal RNA", at positions 29 to 507 of the family's 1533-position model. The record is from RNAcentral.